AAGCUGAGCAGUCGUUGAAAUAAGCAUCUUCUGUUCUGUAUAUUGAGAAUUGAUUCUGCCAGUUUUGGCACAAGCAGCUGUCUUCCUGGACCAGUGCAUAUUCUGCUUCUGUUCUGUGCUGCUAGUAACUGUUUUUUCGAGUUGUGCAAAAUGGAGAUGUUCUUGUCAUAAUGAUUUUCCAGAGGUUUUCAUGUGAUAUGUAUGGGAUGUGGAGAAUCCUGUCGUGAUGCUCCGUAUGAUCUUGGGCUUUUAAUGUAUAGGUUGAUCUGGAAUAGCAACUGAGAUCUUUGUUUCUGUCAUGUUCUGCAAGUGAUAGGAUCCAUUUACAAGAAUAAUUCAGUAAGUGAACUUCCUGUUGUAAAGUCACGCUGGGUUCGGAAUAGGAGCAUCCGUGCUCUAGGAAUACCAUUGGGACAGGGUGAUGUAGUAACACAUAUGAAGUCUGUCAUUUAACCUGGUCAUUACAUCUGUCAUAAAUGUCAGUAAAUCUGCCACUGACCAACCCCUGGUCAAGGUUUUCCUGUGGCUAAUGUUUAAAAUAAUAAUAGUAAGAACUAAUUUCUUAAUUUCAGUGUCUUGAAUAGCCUCCUGCAAUGUAACCCUUCUGUACAGCUGAAACUUUCCUUGCUCAUGUAAUUCUUGUAUAAUUCCAUCGAAGGAUGUAUACUAUAUGAACUCUAAACCUAAGAAGCACCAACAUAUUUGUGAGUAUCCAUGUAGCUGCUGGAAUGCAGGAGAGGUUUGUUCUUGCAAAGUAGGGCCAUCCUAUAAUUUCUUACUAAGAGAUAAAGCUAGAAGUGCAGUCCUGGAAGCAGUUUGGGACAUUACUAUAGAGGGAACUUCUUGCUAAGAUUUGUGCAUUUUUAGCACUGUUUAUCUGUUCACUUGCUUUGCCUUGGACCUUUGGAUGACUGAGAAGACUGAAGGUGAUGGGGUGAGAAGGGUGAGGUUUCAGUGAGGACGGACCUUGAAAGCUUAAUGAUCCUGAGGCCAGAUUUUGAGGAAGAGUGUGCACUUAACAUGGUUUGCUUAGAGGCUGGGAAAACUUUUCAUUAGACAACGCAUUUAUAGUGAAAGUAGCAUAGGAAGGUGAUACUCAUUCCUAUGGAUUGAACACAUUUUUGGCACCAAAAUAUUGUAAAAUCCUUGUAUUGUUAAAUGGGGAAGGCAUUCCUGCACAGGUGGGCAUUAAUUAUUUGCCUGGGAUAGUGAGUACUUGGAAAGCAGCGUCUUGUGCCAGGGGCAUGUAGAACUGAAUCAUAAGUAAUGAAGAAGAGAGAGAGACAUGUCUGAAAAUG
Long non-coding RNA from Empidonax traillii (willow flycatcher), 1298 nucleotides. RefSeq lists it as uncharacterized. The record is from RefSeq and is a predicted model, not a curated record. NCBI's taxonomy places the organism in Eukaryota, Metazoa, Chordata, Aves, Passeriformes, Tyrannidae. The transcript has 4 exons.